GCAAACCAAAUCUCAUCUUCCUAAAGACAGGCUGAGAGACUGAGAGCCAGAAGCGUACUAAGUUCUCUUUCCCUGGCAAGGGAGAUGAAGAGUACCUAAAAAACAUAAACAAUGAACUUUGAACAUCUCACUGCUGUCCAAUGUCCUGCAUAAUCUGUUUUUGAAACCUUGCUUUACCAAUCGAGGCUUUCAAGAUUUGCAGAGAGGAACAGCUGCAAUGUGCACAGAAAGCAAAGGCUUUUUGAUAACAACAAAUUAUGUCCUACCUGAAAAUAGAGGGCCACGCAGGAAAGCAUCAUAAACUGCCACUGUUGAAAUAAAUGGAAUAACGGCCAUCGGCAAAGCAGAUAUUAUGGCAGCCUUUCUGAUAUUUAGGAUCUUCCUGAAGAAAUUAUUUGCUGUUAAGCCACAUAAGCUUGCAUUUCCUGCAAGGAA
Molecule: non-coding RNA, 435 nt
Organism: Coturnix japonica (Japanese quail)
Lineage: Eukaryota; Metazoa; Chordata; Aves; Galliformes; Phasianidae
Source: RefSeq, a predicted model, not a curated record